CGGUCAGUCAGGAUAUUCGGUAAAGGUUUCGGUCAGUCAGUAUAUUCGGUAAAGGUUUCGGUCGGUCAGUCAGGAUAUUCGGUAAAGGUUUCGGUCGGUCAGUCAGUAUAUUCGGUAAAGGUUUCGGUCGGUCAGUCAGGAUAUUCGGUAAAGGUUUCGGUCAGUCAGGAUAUUCGGUAAAGGUUUCGGUCGGUCAGUCAGGAUAUUCGGUAAAGGUUUCGGCCGGUCAGUCAGGAUAUUCGGUAAAGGUUUCGGUCAGUCAGGAUAUUCGGUAAAGGUUUCGGUCAGUCAGGAUAUUCGGUAAAGGUUUCGGUCAGUCAGUAUAUUCGGUAAAGGUUUCGGUCGGUCAGUCAGGAUAUUCGGUAAAGGUUUCGGUCAGUCAGGAUAUUCGGUAAAGGUUUCGGUCGGUCAGUCAGGAUAUUCGGUAAAGGUUUCGGCCGGUCAGUCAGGAUAUUCGGUAAAGGUUUCGGUCAGUCAGGAUAUUCGGUAAAGGUUUCGG
Molecule: long non-coding RNA, 499 nt
Filed under: Pelobates cultripes (western spadefoot toad)
Lineage: Eukaryota; Metazoa; Chordata; Amphibia; Anura; Pelobatidae
Source: RNAcentral